This 377-nucleotide unclassified non-coding RNA is filed under the name plant metagenome. RNAcentral describes it as "partial contains 5.8S ribosomal RNA, internal transcribed spacer 2, and large subunit ribosomal RNA". The stretch from base 1 to 104 matches the Rfam family "5.8S ribosomal RNA", at positions 50 to 154 of the family's 154-position model. The record is from RNAcentral.
GAAAUGCGAUAAGUAAUGUGAAUUGCAGAAUUCGUGAAUCAUCGAAUCUUUGAACGCACCUUGCGCUCCUUGGUAUUCCUUGGAGCAUGCCUGUUUGAGUAUCAUGAAAUCUUCAAAGUAAAUCUUUUGUUAACUCAAUUGGUUUCUACUUUGGUAUUGGAGGUCUUUGCAGCUUCACACCUGCUCCUCUUUGUUCAUUAGCUGGAUCUCAGUGUUAUGCUUGGUUCCACUCGGCGUGAUAAGUUAUCUAUCGCUGAGGACACUGUAAAAGGUGGCCAAGGUAAAUGCAGAUGAACCGCUUCUAAUAGUCCAUUGACUUGGACAAUACUUUUAUGAUCUGAUCUCAAAUCAGGUAGGACUACCCGCUGAACUUAAGC